Molecule: ribosomal RNA, 468 nt
Filed under: uncultured bacterium
Lineage: Bacteria
Description: partial 16S ribosomal RNA
Rfam family: Bacterial small subunit ribosomal RNA
Source: RNAcentral
GACGAACGCUGGCGGCGUGCUUAACACAUGCAAGUCGAACGGAAAGGCCCUGCUUUUGCGGGGUGCUCGAGUGGCGAACGGGUGAGUAAAACGUGAGUAACCUGCCCUUGACUUUGGGAUAACUUCAGGAAACUGGGGCUAAUACCGGAUAGGAGCUCCUGCUGCAUGGGGGGGGUUGGAAAGUUUCGGCGGUUGGGGAUGGACUGGCGGCUUAUCAGCUUGAUGGUGGGGUAGUGGCUUACCAAGGCUUUGACGGGUAGCCGGCCUGAGAGGGUGACCGGCCACAUGGGGCCUAAGGGACGGACCAGUCUGGUACGGGAGGCAGUAGUGGAGAAUAUUGCGCAAUGGGCGGAAGUCUGUUGUAGCAACGCCGGGUGCGGGAUGACCGCCUUCUGGGUGUAAACCGCUGUGGCAUGUGACGUAGCGUUAGUGACGGUAAUUGGUAAAGAAGCACCGGCUAACUACGUG